CAACACCCAUGUCUGAAGCUUGAAGUUUGUUCUUCCCCGACUCCUCUUAGGUCAUCACUAAUCAAAUUCCAGCCUUUCGCCGUUACCAUAAAUCCACUCUUCAUUAAUAUAUAUUUUGCUCUUCGAAAGUGCUGAUCUUAUAGUGGCUUGCUUCGUAGCUCUUAACGGGGAGGAUCCAUCAGUUCUUCUGAAUGCUCUUAAGAUUCAAUAUGAUGAGACUGGAGCAAAGUUCUUUGAGUACAUGGCAGCUUUAGAAGCUAAAUAUCAAAGUUGUAUCAGCAUUUGUACACCUAGGUGCACAUGAAGAAGUAUAAAACUAAACAAAAAAAGAUAAAGAUGCUGAAGAGAAAGGAGUACCAGAGUCCUGGCUGAAUAACAAUGAAAUUGCAGAUCAUGAGGUUUUUUUCAAGGAUACUCUACUUUUGUUUUUUUAGAAAAUGGAUGAAGAACCAAAAGAGAAUCUUGAGUUUAUCUUUGAUCAGAGCCCUCACUUCAAGCACACAGUUUUGACCAAGACAUAUCACAUCAUUGAUGAAGAUGAGCAUAUCCUUGAAAAGGCCAUUACUAAUCGUCCACGACGGAGACUGAGUGGUAUCCUGGAAAAUGUUUGACUCAACAUAUUAAAAAGAAACCAACAAAGGUAUCCAAAACACAAAGCCAAUCACUUAGAGUGAAGACUACAAGAGUUUCUGCAACUUCUUCAGUCCACUUCAAGGUUUUCAGAGCAACGAUGAUCCUGAUGAUGGAUAGGCUGAAGAACUCCAUGGCCAUACGGAGCACGACCACCUUCUUAUUUCAUCUUCAGUUCUCUUUGCUCUUUAGCUCAGUUCUAGGAUCCAAAUCUGUCAGACUGUUUAAUCUGUAGAUCAACCAUUAAAGAGACAAGCAUCUCGCAUGUUGUGUUAUGGUUUAAGGUGAAGUUGUUGACGCAGAUGACCUUGAGAUGGGCGACGAUGAUGAUGAGAUUGCUGAAGAUGUGAUGAGGACGGGAAGGGUGGAAGAUGAAGAGGAUGAGCAAGGAAAAAAGUGCAGAAAAGGUCAUCAUCUGGGUGCAAGGUUAUAACAAUCACUCAAUAUCGACCUUAGGUUCUAUAUCUUCUAAUUAUUUAAGGGCUGUUUAUAACAUGAGGCUCUUUUCUUUUUAAACAAAAGUCUAGAAGCAGUCAACUUGCAUAAGGUCAACAAGGUGAGAGGCUACUGGAGCAUAAUUAACAGUGAGUAAACUUCUUCUGCGAUAAAAAAGAUUGGUUUAUUGUGAAGAAGAGUCGGGUCUUUCUGCUUCUUAAGUUGCAAAGUCGUGGUCCGGUUUAUAUGAUAUAUCAAGUUUUGUCGGGUGGUUUGCUAAAAAAUUGGGUAUUUGGUGUGGUUUGUCUGUUUUUUCAUAUAUAAUGGGUGACUACUGUUCAUGAACUGGUUUGAGAUAAUAGUAUUUAUCGCUUUGUUCGCAA
This is a long non-coding RNA of Brassica napus (rape), 1448 nucleotides long. RefSeq lists it as uncharacterized. The record is from RefSeq and is a predicted model, not a curated record. NCBI's taxonomy places the organism in Eukaryota, Viridiplantae, Streptophyta, Magnoliopsida, Brassicales, Brassicaceae. The transcript is spliced from 7 exons.